AGUCUUAUAUUCAAUAAUGAUUAAAAAUUGCAAAUUUUUAGGUGAGUAAUUUCUAAGGCUU
RNAcentral lists this transfer RNA (61 nucleotides) under Agonita chinensis. Its description in RNAcentral is "tRNA-Cys". Lineage: Eukaryota; Metazoa; Arthropoda; Insecta; Coleoptera; Chrysomelidae. The record is from RNAcentral.